This 435-nucleotide ribosomal RNA is filed under the name uncultured bacterium. Its description in RNAcentral is "partial 16S ribosomal RNA". It matches the Rfam family "Bacterial small subunit ribosomal RNA", at positions 29 to 507 of the family's 1533-position model. The record is from RNAcentral.
AGCGAACGCUGGCGGCAGGCUUAACACAUGCAAGUCGAGCGGGCAUCUUCGGAUGUCAGCGGCAGACGGGUGAGUAACACGUGGGAACGUACCCUUCGGUUCGGAACAACUCUGGGAAACUGGAGCUAAUACCGGAUACGCCCUUAUGGGGAAAGGUUUACUGCCGAAGGAUCGGCCCGCGUCUGAUUAGCUAGUUGGUGGGGUAACGGCCUACCAAGGCGACGAUCAGUAGCUGGUCUGAGAGGAUGAUCAGCCACACUGGGACUGAGACACGGCACAGACUCCUACGGGAGGCAGGAGUGGGGAAUAUUGGACAAUGGGCGCAAGCCUGAUCCAGCCAUGCCGCGUGAGUGAUGAAGGCCUUAGGGUUGUAAAGCUCUUUUGUCCGGGACGAUAAUGACGGUACCGGAAGAAUAAGCCCCGGCUAACUUCGUG